This 497-nucleotide ribosomal RNA is filed under the name uncultured bacterium. Its description in RNAcentral is "partial 16S ribosomal RNA". It matches the Rfam family "Bacterial small subunit ribosomal RNA", at positions 28 to 507 of the family's 1533-position model. The record is from RNAcentral.
GAUGAACGCUGGCGGCGUGCCUAAUACAUGCAAGUCGAGCGAACAGAUGAGGAGCUUGCUCCUCUGACGUUAGCGGCGGACGGGUGAGUAACACGUGGAUAACCUACCUAUAAGACUGGGAUAACUGCGGGAAACCGGAGCGAAUACCGGAUAAUAUAUUGAACCGCAUGGUUCAAUAGUGAAAGACGGUUUUGCUGUAACUUAUAGAUGGAUCCGCGCCGCAUUAGCUAGUUGGUAAGGUAACGGCUUACAAAGGCAACUAUGCGUAGCCGACCUGAGAGGGUGAUCGGCCACCCUAGAACUGAGACACGGUCCAGACUCCUACGGGAGGCAGCAGUAGGGAAUCUUCCGCAAUGGGCGAAAGCCUGCCGGAGCAACCCCGCGUGAGUGAUGAAGUUCUUCGGAUCGUAAAACACUGUUAUUAGGGAAGAACAAAUGUGUAAGUAACUAUGCACGUCUUGACGGUACCUAAUCAGAAAGCCACGGCUAACUACGUG